GACCUUUUUUUACAAUCGCAGGAAACUGUUGAUAAGGGAACCCCGAGUGCCCGUACACGAAAGGAAUGGGUGGUUAAAAUGCACCCAAAGAAAGGGUGGGGAAGACCGGUGCCAGCCGCCGCGGUAAUACCGGCGGCUCGAGUGGUGACCACUUUUAUUGGGCUUUAAGCGUUCGUAGCUGGACUUUUUAGUCCCUUGGAAAACCCCCGCCUAACCCGGCGGUCUUCUAAGGGAUUUUUCAGUCUUGGCCCCUUAAAGGUAGAUUCCUCCCGGGGUAGGAGUGAA
Molecule: ribosomal RNA, 285 nt
Filed under: uncultured archaeon
Lineage: Archaea
Also listed under: 2 other names
Description: partial 16S ribosomal RNA
Rfam family: Archaeal small subunit ribosomal RNA
Source: RNAcentral